AGCUGGUUGACUUCGGGUCAAAUCGUCAAAUAUUUGCAAAGAUAUUUCCUCAGUGAAAUCAUUUGGUCCCCUUCAACCAGCUGU
RNAcentral lists this microRNA precursor (84 nucleotides) under Aedes aegypti (yellow fever mosquito). RNAcentral describes it as "Aae-Mir-133_pre stem-loop". Lineage: Eukaryota; Metazoa; Arthropoda; Insecta; Diptera; Culicidae. The record is from RNAcentral.